Molecule: ribosomal RNA, 506 nt
Filed under: uncultured bacterium
Lineage: Bacteria
Description: partial 16S ribosomal RNA
Rfam family: Bacterial small subunit ribosomal RNA
Source: RNAcentral
AGUGAGCGCUGGCGGUAGGCCUAACACAUGCAAGUCGAACGGCAGCACAGAGGAGCUUGCUCCUUGGGUGGCGAGUGGCGGACGGGUGAGGAAUACAUCGGAAUCUACUCUGUCGUGGGGGAUAACGUAGGGAAACUUACGCUAAUACCGCAUACGACCUACGGGUGAAAGCAGGGGAUCUUCGGACCUUGCGCGAUUGAAUGAGCCGAUGUCGGAUUAGCUAGUUGGCGGGGUAAAGGCCCACCAAGGCGACGAUCCGUAGCUGGUCUGAGAGGAUGAUCAGCCACACUGGAACUGAGACACGGUCCAGACUCCUACGGGAGGCAGCAGUGGGGAAUAUUGGACAAUGGGCGCAAGCCUGAUCCAGCCAUACCGCGUGGGUGAAGAAGGCCUUCGGGUUGUAAAGCCCUUUUGUUGGGAAAGAAGUCCAUCUGGUUAAUACCCGGGUGGGAUGACGGUACCCAAAGAAUAAGCACCGGCUAACUUCGUGCCAGCCGCCGCAGUAA